RNAcentral lists this ribosomal RNA (253 nucleotides) under uncultured bacterium. RNAcentral's name for it is "partial 16S ribosomal RNA". It matches the Rfam family "Bacterial small subunit ribosomal RNA", at positions 524 to 776 of the family's 1533-position model. The record is from RNAcentral.
UACGUAGGCAGCGAGCGUUGUUCGGAGUUACUGGGCGUAAAGGGUGUGUAGGCGGUUCUUUAAGUUUGGUGUGAAAUCUCCCGGCUCAACCGGGAGGGUGCGCCGAAUACUGAGGGACUAGAGUAUGGGAUGGGAAAGUGGAAUUCCUGGUGUAGCGGUGAAAUGCGUAGAUAUCAGGAGGAACACCUGUGGUGUAGACGGCUUUCUGGACCACAACUGAUGCUGAGACACGAAAGCGUGGGUAGCAAACAGG